Salmo salar (Atlantic salmon) is the source of this 380-nucleotide non-coding RNA. NCBI's taxonomy places the organism in Eukaryota, Metazoa, Chordata, Actinopteri, Salmoniformes, Salmonidae. The record is from RefSeq and is a predicted model, not a curated record.
AGGUGUCUGGCUCUAAGCUCUCUCCUCUGACCUUGUGGCCCUAGGAUUAAACUCCACUUCCCAGAAGGCCCCGCGGCUGUCUUUAAAUCCCUGAAUAGGCUUUAAUCUGCGUCCUGUCUCGAGCAGAUCAACAGACAGAGAGAAAGUACAGAGAAGGGCAACUACCGGACAACAUGCCGCUGAAACGACAGGACACGGAGCGAGCCCUCCAGGUCAUAGAAGCCUCUCAGAUGGGAGACGAAGGUUUUAAGAACAGAGCUGAACAACUCCUCAACAUCUUCCAGAGCGACCUGUUCCAGGCUCUACUGGAUAUCCAAGAGUUCUAUGAGCUGACAGUGUUUGAGAACCAGACCAGCGACCAGCCGAACACACCUGGACUG